This 73-nucleotide transfer RNA is filed under the name Stegodyphus mimosarum. It matches the Rfam family "tRNA". From Rfam's summary of the family: Transfer RNA (tRNA) molecules are approximately 80 nucleotides in length. Their secondary structure includes four short double-helical elements and three loops (D, anti-codon, and T loops). Lineage: Eukaryota; Metazoa; Arthropoda; Arachnida; Araneae; Eresidae. The record is from Rfam by way of RNAcentral.
GCCUUUGUGAUGUAGUGGUUAGCACACUCGACGCGUAUUCGAGAGAUCCGUGGUUCGAGUCCCGUCGAAGGCA